RNAcentral lists this ribosomal RNA (497 nucleotides) under uncultured bacterium. RNAcentral describes it as "partial 16S ribosomal RNA". It matches the Rfam family "Bacterial small subunit ribosomal RNA", at positions 28 to 507 of the family's 1533-position model. The record is from RNAcentral.
GAUGAACGCUGGCGGCGUGCCUGAUACAUGCAAGUCGAGCGAACGGGCGAGAAGCUUGCUUCUCUGAUGUUAGCGGCGGACGGGUGAGUAACACGUGGAUAACCUACCUAUAAGACUGGGAUAACUUCGGGAAACCGGAGCUAAUACCGGAUAAUAUUUUGAACCGCAUGGUUCAAAAGUGAAAGACGGUCUUGCUGUCACUUAUAGAUGGAUCCGCGCUGCAUUAGCUAGUUGGUAAGGUAACGGCUUACCAAGGCAACGAUGCAUAGCCGACCUGAGAGGGUGAUCGGCCACACUGGAACUGAGACACGGUCCAGACUCCUACGGGAGGCAGCAGUAGGGAAUCUUCCGCAAUGGGCGAAAGCCUGACGGAGCAACGCCGCGUGAGUGAUGAAGGUCUUCGGAUCGUAAAACUCUGUUAUUAGGGAAGAACAUAUGUGUAAGUAACUGUGCACAUCUUGACGGUACCUAAUCAGAAAGCCACGGCUAACUACGUG